Molecule: ribosomal RNA, 426 nt
Filed under: Triticum aestivum (bread wheat)
Lineage: Eukaryota; Viridiplantae; Streptophyta; Magnoliopsida; Poales; Poaceae
Description: partial small subunit ribosomal RNA
Source: RNAcentral
AUGAGGAUUCUAAGCGUUGCAGCAUUUGCUGUUUCUGGUUAUGCCUCUACGGAUGGAAGGAGUUGUAAGCCCUUCAACCCUCUUCUUGGGGAGACCUAUGAAGCAGAUUAUCGAGAUAAAGGUCUUCGUUUUUUCUCAGAAAAGGUUAGUCAUCAUCCAAUGGUUGUUGCAUGCCACUGUGAGGGAAAUGGCUGGAGGUUUUGGGCAGAUAGCAACCUAAAGAGCAAGUUCUGGGGUCGCUCCAUUCAACUUGAUCCUGUUGGUGUGUUAACACUGGAGUUUGAUGAUGGUGAAGUUUUCCAGUGGAGCAAGGUGACCACUUCCAUUUACAAUCUCAUAUUGGGUAAACUGUACUGUGAUCACUAUGGUACUAUGCGCAUUCAAGGUAAUCGCGAAUAUUCAUGUAAGCUGAAGUUCAAGGAGUAG